AUGCUGGCUUCGGCAGCACAGAUACUAAAACUGGAACGAUACAGAGAAGAGUAGCAUGGCCCCUGCUCAAGGAUGACAUGCAAAUUCAUGAAGUGUUCCAUAUUUCU
Loxodonta africana (African savanna elephant) is the source of this 107-nucleotide small nuclear RNA. The record is from Ensembl. Lineage: Eukaryota; Metazoa; Chordata; Mammalia; Proboscidea; Elephantidae.